UAUCCUCAGGAUGAAUUGAUUUAUUUCACCGAAGCUAUCCGGAGACUCCAUAUAAGAGUUAUUUCCCCUUUUAUAUUUGAUAUAAGUGAUAUGCAUUUUUAACUGGAAAACCAUAAGUGUUAGAGGCCUAGGGUCUUUUGAUUUGAGGUCCUUGGUCCAAAAAAAUGAAAAUGAGGUCAAGGUCAAAGGUCAAGGUCAUGAUUAAAUUUUUGAUUUUGGCUUGUUAUCUCUUAUUUUCAGAAAUCUUAUAAGAUAUCGAAAAAAUAUUUUCACAUAAUUGAUAGUCGCGACAUGUAGUUACACAUAAAUUUUAGUCGAAAG
This 321-nucleotide long non-coding RNA is filed under the name Mytilus galloprovincialis (Mediterranean mussel). The record is from RNAcentral. Lineage: Eukaryota; Metazoa; Mollusca; Bivalvia; Mytilida; Mytilidae.